RNAcentral lists this ribosomal RNA (253 nucleotides) under uncultured bacterium. RNAcentral's name for it is "partial 16S ribosomal RNA". It matches the Rfam family "Bacterial small subunit ribosomal RNA", at positions 524 to 776 of the family's 1533-position model. The record is from RNAcentral.
UACGGAGGGUGCUAGCGUUGUUCGGAAUUACUGGGCGUAAAGCGUACGUAGGCGGCUAUUCAAGUCAGAGGUGAAAGCCCGGGGCUCAACCCCGGAACUGCCUUUGAAACUAGGUAGCUAGAGUCUUGGAGAGGUUAGUGGAAUUCCGAGUGUAGAGGUGAAAUUCGUAGAUAUUCGGAAGAACACCAGUGGCGAAGGCGACUAACUGGACAAGUACUGACGCUGAGGUACGAAAGCGUGGGGAGCAAACAGG